AGUCCGCCUUCCAUUUUUUUUUUUUUUUUAAUUUUUGCUUAAACACUUUUUUUUCCUUUUUUGGAGAGGUACCAGGGAUUGAACUUAGGGACUGAACUCGCCCACUGAGCCGCACCCCCAGUGCUAUUUUGUAUUUUAUUUAGAGACAGGCCUCACUGAGCUGCUUAGCGCCUCGAUGUUGCUGAGGCUGGCUUUGAACUUGCCAUCCUCCUGCCUCAGCCUCCCGAGCCCUGGGAUCACAGCGUGCCCACUGCGCUGGCACAUCAGCCUUUUCGAGGUGGGGUUUCUAUGUGUGUGACACAGACACACAGUCCCGCACCUGUCCCUAGUGUCGCCGCUCUUUGAGGACGCUCACCAUUGUUCCAUCCAUCAACACAAUCUCAGGAACAGUGCCAAGGACACACUCACCCGCACCAGGUGCUGCUCUGGGUGUGGGGACACAGCAGGGAACAGAAGAGACGGAGGAGACCCCGUCGUCCCGGCCCCAGCUCUGCCGAGAGGAGGGCACUGAAGGCGGUGGAGAGGCGGGCCCUGGAGGGGUCACGCGGAGAGAACCAGGCGUCUGCAGGACCCGAGAGGCCGUGAGGGCCUGGACACCUGCGAGUGUCCAGAGCAGCAAGAUGGCCAGGGCCCUGGGGCAGGGCCCAUCUGGAGGUGGGCUCGGAGGCCGUGGGGAGUGGGAGAGUCAGUACGGGGGCUCCCAGGGCCCAUCAGGACCUCGGCAGUGACUGUGAGGGGGACCAGGGGCCCCGAGCAGCAAGGAUCGCGCUGACUACCAGGGUGGAGACGGGGACCUGGGACCGCAGCAGUCCCUGUGGGAGGCAAUGGUGGCGGAGACCAUUGUCGCGGAGGUGGAGAGCCGGGGUGGGGCGGGGAGCGGCCAGACUCUGGCCACUUGUAAAGGCUGCAGCGGGAUCCCCUGGCAGGCUGCGGCGGGACGCGAAGGGUGGCUGGAAGUGGCUUCAGAAUGCAGCUGGGCGGCCGCGGGAGGUAAGGGAAGGAGACAGAGGGGGGCCCUGGGACACCCAGGGCGUGAGGUCCUGUCGCCAGCUAGAGACAGACACCUAAAGGUCAGGACAGAGGUCGGCCCAGGGACGGCACUGACAGUGACAGAACAGGUGAACCCCACCACAGCUUGACGAGUGACGAAGGACGCUGGCCCCGGGCCACCAGCCUGCCUCUCCCGCGCUGGGGAGCUGAGGAGCAGCCGACACCGGCCUGGGGGACAGGGACAGCCUGCUGAGGACAGUCCCUGUGGGGAAGGCAGGAGGGCAGGGCCUGCACCCACCCCAUCUGCUGCCCAGGUGAGAACCUGAGGCUCAGACAAAGGUGUGACGCAAGGUGACACAAGGUGACACUGAGGCUGAGCCGGCCGAGGGGCAGAACCAGGCAGGGCAUCAGACGCCACAGGCUCUGUGCCGGGGCAGCCCGUCACCAGCACAAGUGGGGACCCCCUGCCGCCCGUGCCCCAGGCUGCCAAGGCCCCGGCGCUCGGACAGAGGGCGGAGAAGGCGUGCUGGCCGUGGCGUCCUGGUGACCGGCAGGGGCCAUGUGCCGGCAGGCAGUCAGGCGGCCCCCCUGCCCUCCCCUUUGGAACCUGGUGGCACCUGCUCCAGAGGGCACAGUGGGCCGAGACCUGGGUUCAACUCCCAGCCCACCCGACAGAGCGGCCCUGGACGACCCGGCCCCACCAGGUCCCCCCCGCCUGGCCGGCCCUCUCCGUGCGGAGCUCGCUACGAGCCUGGGUGACCAGACGCAGGUCUCUCUUGCUCAGCGCUGCUGACUUCUGGGGCCAGAUGCCCUCUGUGAGGUCAGGUUACAUCCGUGGCCCCACCCAAAGGUGCCCAGGGCACCUUCUCCCUGUCAAUAACCAAAACCGUCCCCAGACGUGGCCGUGCGUCUCUGGGCGGGCACAGCUGCCCUGGUUUGAGAACCCCUGCCCUAUGCUCACCAGGACAUCCAUGUGGCUCCGGAGGGCAAAGAGCUUGUCCACUGUGGACUCUGAGGCGCUGCCCAGCCGCCCCACCCUGGUUCCCGAGGGCCAGUGGACAUGGGCACGACCUGGCGCUCUAAAGGGUCUCUAAAAGGACACGUUCUCCGUUUGUUCUAAACUCCAG
Molecule: long non-coding RNA, 2117 nt
Filed under: Marmota monax (woodchuck)
Lineage: Eukaryota; Metazoa; Chordata; Mammalia; Rodentia; Sciuridae
Source: RNAcentral